This is a small nuclear RNA of Choloepus didactylus (southern two-toed sloth), 105 nucleotides long. The record is from RefSeq and is a predicted model, not a curated record. NCBI's taxonomy places the organism in Eukaryota, Metazoa, Chordata, Mammalia, Pilosa, Megalonychidae.
GCUUACUUUGGCAAUGCAUAUACUAAAACUGGAUUGAUUUAGAGAAAAUUAGCAUGAUUUCUGUGCAUGGAAGAUAUACAAAUUCAUAAAAUGUUCCAUCUUUUA